AAAAAGAAGGAGGGGGGAAUUGAGAAUCAUUGUGAGAAAAAUAAGACAAAGAUUAGUUUUGUAUCCUCUACUCCUUACUCUCCCGCAUUGUAUUUUCAUUUGUACUCUCGCUCCUUUUCCAUUUGUUGAAUUAGUAUCGAAACAUGA
This 147-nucleotide non-coding RNA is filed under the name Fragilariopsis kerguelensis. The record is from RNAcentral. Lineage: Eukaryota; Bacillariophyta; Bacillariophyceae; Bacillariales; Bacillariaceae.